UGACGAGUUUGAUCCUGGCUCAGAUUGAACGCUGGCGGCAGGCCUAACACAUGCAAGUCGAGCGGAUGAGAAGAGCUUGCUCUUCGAUUCAGCGGCGGACGGGCGAGUAAUACCUAGGAAUCUGCCUGGUAGUGGGGGACAACGUUUCGAAAGGAACGCUAAUACCGCAUACGUCCUACGGGAGAAAGCAGGGGACCUUCGGGCCUUGCGCUAUCAGAUGAGCCUAGGUCGGAUUAGCUAGUUGGUGAGGUAAUGGCUCACCAAGGCGACGAUCCGUAACUGGUCUGAGAGGAUGAUCAGUCACACUGGAACUGAGACACGGUCCAGACUCCGUACGGGAGCAGCAGUGGGGAAUUUGGACAAGUGGACGCAAGUCUGAUCCAGCCAUUCCGCGUG
Molecule: ribosomal RNA, 396 nt
Filed under: uncultured Pseudomonas sp.
Lineage: Bacteria; Pseudomonadati; Pseudomonadota; Gammaproteobacteria; Pseudomonadales; Pseudomonadaceae
Description: bacterial SSU rRNA
Rfam family: Bacterial small subunit ribosomal RNA
Source: RNAcentral